Molecule: transfer RNA, 83 nt
Filed under: Candidatus Equicaccousia limihippi
Lineage: Bacteria; Bacillati; Bacillota; Clostridia; Eubacteriales; Acutalibacteraceae
Description: tRNA-Leu
Rfam family: tRNA
About the family: Transfer RNA (tRNA) molecules are approximately 80 nucleotides in length. Their secondary structure includes four short double-helical elements and three loops (D, anti-codon, and T loops).
Source: RNAcentral
GCGGGCGUGGCGGAAUGGCAGACGCGCUAGUCUUAGGAACUAGUGGCAACACCGUGCAGGUUCAAGUCCUGUCGCCCGCACCA